RNAcentral lists this microRNA precursor (71 nucleotides) under Pelodiscus sinensis (Chinese soft-shelled turtle). RNAcentral describes it as "miRNA (ENSPSIG00000019892.1)". The record is from RNAcentral. Lineage: Eukaryota; Metazoa; Chordata; Testudines; Trionychidae.
GAGUGUGUGUGUGUGUGUGUGUGUGUGUGCGCGCGCGUGCACAAACACACACACACACACCCCAACUCACG